AGACAGCAGUCGCCGCGGUAAUACGAAGGGGGCUAGUGUUGUUCGGAAUUACUGGGCGUAAAGCGCACGUAGGCGGAUAUUUAAGUCAGGGGUGAAAUCCCAGAGCUCAACUCUGGAACUGCCUUUGAUACUGGGUAUCUUGAGUAUGGAAGAGGUGAGUGGAAUUCCGAGUGUAGAGGUGAAAUUCGUAGAUAUUCGGAGGAUCACCAGUGGCGAAGGCGGCUCACUGGUCCAUUACUGACGCUGAGGUGCGAAAGCGUGGGGAGCAAACAGGAUUAGAUACCCCUGUAGUCCCUGUCUCUUAUAU
This 307-nucleotide ribosomal RNA is filed under the name uncultured bacterium. RNAcentral describes it as "partial 16S ribosomal RNA". It matches the Rfam family "Bacterial small subunit ribosomal RNA", at positions 506 to 809 of the family's 1533-position model. The record is from RNAcentral.